AUUGAACGCUGGCGGGAGGCCUAACACAUGCAAGUCGAGCGAGCGGCGGACGGGUGAGUAAUGUCUGGGAAACUGCCUGAUGGAGGGGGAUAACUACUGGAAACGGUAGCUCAUACCGCAUAUCAUCCGAUGUACCCAGAUGGGAUUAGCUAGUGGGUGGGGUAACGGCUCACCAAGGCGACGAUCCCUAGCUGGUCUGAGAGGAGGACCAGCCACACUGGAACUGAGACACGGUCCAGACUCCUACGGGAGGCAGCAGUGGGGAAUAUUGCACAAUGGGCGAAAGCCUGAUGCAGCCAUCCCGCGUGUGUGAAGAAGGCCUUCGGGUUGUAAAGCACUUUCGGCGGGGAGGCGUUACCCGCAGAAGAAGCACCGGCUAACUCCGUGCCAGCAGCCGCGGUAAUUC
Molecule: ribosomal RNA, 406 nt
Filed under: uncultured bacterium
Lineage: Bacteria
Description: partial 16S ribosomal RNA
Rfam family: Bacterial small subunit ribosomal RNA
Source: RNAcentral